Non-coding RNA from Phasianus colchicus (ring-necked pheasant), 513 nucleotides. The record is from RefSeq and is a predicted model, not a curated record. Lineage: Eukaryota; Metazoa; Chordata; Aves; Galliformes; Phasianidae.
AAGACAUACAACAGUUAUGGUACCUAUUAUUCUGAUAUCAUUGGACUCAUCUACCAUUAUUGAAUCACUCUCCUGAAAAGAUGAAAAUAUUUGCUCAUCUUCUAAGGAAGUGGCUGAAAUGUAAGAGGUAUUAUAAAGAAUUAUACUGGAAGGAAUUAAAUUGAAGAUAUCCACCGAUCUGCAUUAGACAAAAAUGAGAGGAAGAAUGCCUCGUGCUUGUUUUGUCCAAGGAUGUCCAACCUGAAAGGCUCUGAAUAAGAAAGAUCUGCUGAAAGAACAGGUUAGCCUUCAUCUCUCCUCAGGAUAAAGAUGAUGAGCUCAUCAAGUCAUCAUAACAAGUGUGGAAAAUAACCAAGAUAAAGAAAGGUUAGAUAAUUUCUUAUGUAGGAUAAAUAUUAAGCCCAAGUAAUUAUCACCAGUCAUCAGCUGUGAAAUAGCACUUGGACUAUUUUUUUAGGGAUUUAAUUGGUGUUUAGUGGCUUAAUAUGUGCAAAAACUGACACAUCUUGCUAA